Myotis lucifugus (little brown bat) is the source of this 1111-nucleotide long non-coding RNA. RefSeq lists it as uncharacterized. The record is from RefSeq and is a predicted model, not a curated record. The transcript is spliced from 2 exons. NCBI's taxonomy places the organism in Eukaryota, Metazoa, Chordata, Mammalia, Chiroptera, Vespertilionidae.
AACUGAGCCGGCCAGGGCAGCUUGAUAUUUCUUCACAAUUGGACUCAGGUUAUGCGUUUUUUGCUGGGGCUACCACAGCGGCGGCACUGUGCCCCUUCAGCCCUCAGAUCUGGAGCCGCCCCAUGCUGGCUUGCCUCAUUACCGGUGAUGUUAACUUUGAUCCCUUGGUUAAGAUUUCUCCACCUAAAGUUGCAUACUCUUCCUCGGUAUGAACACAUACCUUGUGAGGAGAUACUGUAAGACUAAAACUACCCUAUUCUGGUAUGCAACACCCUUCCCGCCCCAAUGUCACCCCAUGGUUUUAACACCCGUCCUUACCUGAAUCAGUUAUCAUGGUGGCUGUAACUUGGUCAUUUUAAACUCUAUAUUCCUUCUUUAAUGAUGAGUUGGCUUUCUUACUGCAAAAGAACUUCCCUACUCGCCUUCCUCCCUUCGGCUCCCCCUCGUCCUACGCUCUGCAUCUCUAAUAUUUCCAGAAUUGGUAUGAGCUCGUGGGUCCCUCCUUCAUUCAGUGAGCACCGCCCUUACUCAUCUUGAUGCAUAACGUGUCCCUGCUUUUCCAGAGGGAACUCCCUCAAGCUGGUUCCGUGUCCUUCCCACAGGUUACCGUCAUCCUGCGAGUGCCUCCUGCUUUCUAAGCACAAGAUGUUCCAGGCGCACCUGGUGCUUUGCCUGCCCCGCGUUGGAACCAGCCACUGCCCAGGAGCCCUGGCCCCUUUGAAGGAGAGGGGUAUCCAGAAGCCAAGAUCCGGUGUCGGGCGCUGGCCCUGUUUUGAAGGGCUUGCUGUGAGGAACGGCGGAAUCCUGCAUAGAGAUUUGUACCUGAAAAACUGCGACUACCAGCAUUUUCUAAGAGUAUUUCCAAAGUCUUGCCCUUUUGUGACGUCCUGGGGCCACCGCCGGUUCAUAUUCCAUCCCCUCUCUCUCCACCCCGGGGUCCGCAGGCUGUGCUGCCAGGUCUCGUUCCCUGAGUGCUUCAGGCUGGACGCAUCUACAUCGUCUCAGGUUUCCCCGGAACUGGGGCCCCACAUGGAGCCUGGGGAACAUACACUUUUGUCAGCAGCAAUUGGGUCGGAAUGACAAUUUUGCCCAAAAUAAAUUUUGCAUCCUG